GCUUUGGGACACAUCUUCCCUAGUCAGUUGCGCUCGUUCCUAUGGCAAAAGAGAACUUCAGCUUCGGUUUUCCAGCUCCCAAACAGUUAAGUGACUUCCUGCAAACGCUACAGUCCCAGCAACCAGCCUUCCAAUCAAAAUGAAUAAACCAGUAGACCAAUUCAGAGUCCAUUUCAGUGGUGCAGGUGAGAGGUAUUAGAGACCUGGACAAGGUGGUGGCAGAUGAAGAUGGAGAGAAGAGAGAUAAGACCUCACUAUGUUGCCCAGGCUGAAUUCCUGCCUCAUGCACCGCCUCACCAAGCUUAACAGCUUUACCAUACCUGGG
This is a long non-coding RNA of Symphalangus syndactylus (siamang), 325 nucleotides long. RefSeq lists it as uncharacterized. The record is from RefSeq and is a predicted model, not a curated record. NCBI's taxonomy places the organism in Eukaryota, Metazoa, Chordata, Mammalia, Primates, Hylobatidae.